AUUUUGGUGCUUGUCAAAAAACAAGAGUGCCCAAGAGCUGAAGCUGGAAGGUGAGGGUGUGCUAGAACUUCCUCGACAACAAUUGCUGGAGGAUGGAGGUAGCGGUGUACCUAAUAUUCGACUUCUCUUUUAUCUCUCUAAAUUUCAUACUCCGCACAAGACUUCAUUUUCAAAUGGUGAUGGCAGGCGAAGGAGGAGUCACAAGCAACCCAUACGGCAUCGCUUCCUCUUACGAUGGCGGAGGAUAAAUAGGGGUGGAAGGAAAGUUCUAUAGAAGGUCGUCCUAUAGAGCCCACCAUACGACGUCGUAUGAUCGUCCCCUCACUACUUUAUGAGGAAUUAGCACCGUCGCGCACCAACAAUAACAACUCUAGCUAGUUGAAUAAGCUCGUGGUGGACUCGGCCUCCAAGCUCAUCUCUUAUGGGGUUCACCGCUUCUUUGCCUCCAUUUUUUUGCAAUCGCCUCCUACCUCCUCCUCAACUACCGUAUAUGUUCU
RNAcentral lists this long non-coding RNA (497 nucleotides) under Olea europaea subsp. europaea. The record is from RNAcentral. Lineage: Eukaryota; Viridiplantae; Streptophyta; Magnoliopsida; Lamiales; Oleaceae.